This 501-nucleotide ribosomal RNA is filed under the name uncultured bacterium. Its description in RNAcentral is "partial 16S ribosomal RNA". It matches the Rfam family "Bacterial small subunit ribosomal RNA", at positions 30 to 523 of the family's 1533-position model. The record is from RNAcentral.
AUUGAACGCUGGCGGCAGGCUUAACACAUGCAAGUCGAGCGGGGGGAGGUAGCUUGCUACCGGACCUAGCGGCGGACGGGUGAGUAAUGCUUAGGAAUCUGCCUAUUAGUGGGGGACAACAUCUCGAAAGGGAUGCUAAUACCGCAUACGUCCUACGGGAGAAAGCAGGGGAUCUUCGGACCUUGCGCUAAUAGAUGAGCCUAAGUCGGAUUAGCUAGUUGGUGGGGUAAAGGCCUACCAAGGCGACGAUCUGUAGCGGGUCUGAGAGGAUGGUCCGCCACACUGGGGCUGAGACACGUCGCAGACUCCUACAGGAGGUAGCAGUGGGGAAUAUUGUACAAUGGGGGGAACCCUGAUCCAGCCAUGCCGCGUGUGUGAAGAAGGCCUUAUGGUUGUGAAGCACUUUAAGCGAGGAGGAGGCUACCGAGAUUAAUACUCUUGGAUAGUGGACGUUACUCGCAGAAUAAGCACCGGCUAACUCUGUGCCAGCCGCCGCGGUAA